CACACAUAGAGCAUUUGUGCAGAGACUAAAAGAUUGAUCUGAGAAACCACUUCCUGGGAUGAAAUGAAAGCCAGGCAGAGAAUCCCAUACCCAAAUAUAAUCUAAAGGGGUUAAACUGAGAAAAAGAACACCGGUGAGACAAAGGGAUUUAAACUGGAGGAACAAGGAAAGAAAAAGUGCAUUCCUACUUACCUCAAGGGUUCUGUGCAAUGAAGUAGAAAAAGAACAGAAAGAAUUUCAG
This 241-nucleotide long non-coding RNA is filed under the name Homo sapiens (human). Its description in RNAcentral is "HSALNT0345388". Lineage: Eukaryota; Metazoa; Chordata; Mammalia; Primates; Hominidae. The record is from RNAcentral.